CGGAUAAGAAAGCAGAUCGCAUGAUCAGCUUUUAAAAGGCGGCGUAAGCUGUCGCUAUGGGAUGGCCCCGCGGUGCAUUAGCUAGUUGGUAAGGUAAAGGCUUACCAAGGCGAUGAUGCAUAGCCGAGUUGAGAGACUGAUCGGCCACAUUGGGACUGAGAUACGGCCCAGACUCCUACGGGAGGCAGCAGUGGGGAAUAUUGGGCAAUGGGCGCAAGCCUGACCCAGCAACGCCGCGUGAGGGAAGAAGGUCUUCGGAUUGUAAACCUCUGUCGCAAGGGACGAAGAUGUGACGGUACCUUGUGAGGAAGCCCCGGCUAACUACGUGCCAGCAGCCGCGGUAAUACGUAGGGGGCGAGCGUUGUCCGGAAUUACUGGGCGUAAAGGGUGCGUAGGCGGUUGCUUAAGUUGGAUGUGAAAUACCCGGGCUUAACUUGGGGGGUGCAUUCAAAACUGGGCGACUAGAGUUCAGGAGAGGGAAGCGGAAUUCCUAGUGUAGCGGUGAAAUGCGUAGAUAUUAGGAGGAACACCAGUGGCGAAGGCGGCUUUCUGGACUGACACUGACGCUGAGGCACGAAAGCGUGGGGAGCAAACAGGAUUAGAUACCCUGGUAGUCCACGCUGUAAACGAUGAAUACUAGGUGUAGGGGGUAUGAACUCCCUCUGUGCCGUAGCAAACGCAAUAA
RNAcentral lists this ribosomal RNA (685 nucleotides) under uncultured bacterium. RNAcentral describes it as "bacterial SSU rRNA". It matches the Rfam family "Bacterial small subunit ribosomal RNA", at positions 170 to 863 of the family's 1533-position model. The record is from RNAcentral.